Molecule: ribosomal RNA, 463 nt
Filed under: uncultured Planctomycetota bacterium
Lineage: Bacteria; Pseudomonadati; Planctomycetota
Description: bacterial SSU rRNA
Rfam family: Bacterial small subunit ribosomal RNA
Source: RNAcentral
AAUGAACGUUGGCGGCGUGGAUUAGGCAUGCAAGUCGAGCGAGAAACUUCUAAAAGAUACUUCGGUUGAUUUUGGAGGCGGACAGCGGCGAAAGGGAGAGUAACGAGUAGAUUACGUACCCAAGGGUUCGGGAUAGCCAUGCGAAAGCGUGGGUAAUACCGAAUAAUGUCUCCGGACCAAAGAUUUAUUGCCCUUGGAGCGGUCUGCUUACUAUUAGUUUGUUGGUGGGGUAAAGGCCUACCAAGACUAAGAUGGUUAGCGGGUGUGAGAGCAUGGCCCGUCUCACUGGGACUGAGACACUGCCCAGACACCUACGGGUGGCUGCAGUCGAGAAUCUUCCGCAAUGGACGAAAGUCUGACGGAGCGACGCCGCGUGAUGGACGAAGGCCUUCGGGUUGUAAACAUCUGUCGUAGGGGAGGAAAUUUUGACCGAUCCUAGGAGGAAGCACAGGCUAAGUUCGUG